AAAGAAUGAAAUGUCGCGCGGCAUGUGCAUUCACUGACACAACUCAAGACGGCGACAUCACCGCGUCAAUCAUCGGCGCGUUCUGGAUUCCUACGCGGUACUCCGAAGGUCUCACCGUCGCGUCCGAUCGGUCUUCCUCGCUCAGUUCACAACGCCUCGACACAAGUUCGCAUGAAGAAUCCGGUACGGCGGUUCCGAUGCUCGUGCCUUCAAUGAGCCGAUUUGAAAGCUGAAAAUCCAGCGUCGUCACUGCGAUAUGGCUUUCGAGAAUUCCUUCAUCGAGUCGGAAGGUGGAUUAUCCAAAUCGCAUCACCAUGGUGAGAUGCAUCGAGGUGCCACUCCGUCUGUGCUCUAUGAUUCUUGCCCUCAACGUUCAACAGCAAACAGAAAUCCAGAUCAAGUUUAAACAAUUGCCGUCUUUACCGCGUUCGAUAUUAAUUGACGGUGAAUCGUAUGGCGCAUCAGAAGAAACGUAUCACAGAUUGAGUCGAGAUAAACUCACCGAAUUUUAAAUUUGGCACGGCGGUUCUCCGGUAAUUGGUAGGUUGAACAUUGUGGAUGUAAUGAAGAAAACUUGGUGGCCAAAGAUGAUGAAUUGAAGCGCAGAAUGAAAAACAGAUUAAUAUCCGAUGCGGAAUGACGAAAACUGGGUGCAGAAUUGUGGAUUUUAGAUGCAGAAGAAAACGGUUUGAUGCAGGAGAAGCAGGCGAAUGCUGAAACAGAAGGUGAAGACCGAAACUGAAUGGAGAAAAUUGCAGCAGAAUAAAGAAUGGUUGAAGAGUGAAAGGUGAAGAACAAUGAAUGCUGAAGAAGAGAUUGAAGAAGAAAAUCCCAGAAGAUUGGUUGGAUUAAAAUGCUUUGUUUGGCAAUGAUGCAUAGAUAGUGACACUUAAAACCAUUAUGCAAAAUGAAGAGGAGCUUUGCGAAUAGCUUAAUGGAUGAUGUUAGCUCAGUUAGGUUUAGAAAACUCUGUUAGUAUGCCGGUUUGAACUGAAGGGAAAAACGCCACACAUUCAGCAUGUUGGAAUUCUGAGUUUUGAAAUGUCAAUUAUAAAUCGAUUUUGCAGGCCCACGGUAGAUUGAAACUUGGUAUUGGCAUGCUUGGAAAGAGGAAUUAGAAUUUAUGGCAAUGUUUUGAGCAUGUAACCUAUUGUUGGAAUUGGUUUCUAACUUGUAAUUUCUGUGAUUUGGAUGGAAUCAUAUUAUAAAAGUCAAUGAAUUGUAUUGAAUGGUUGAAUGUGAUGAAUGAUAUAAUUUGAAAUUAUGGAAA
Molecule: long non-coding RNA, 1270 nt
Organism: Lathyrus oleraceus (garden pea)
Lineage: Eukaryota; Viridiplantae; Streptophyta; Magnoliopsida; Fabales; Fabaceae
Exons: 4
Source: RefSeq, a predicted model, not a curated record